AAAAACAUGUCCUUUUGAUUUUAAUUUAAGGUCUAGCCCUGCUCAAUGAAUUUUAAAUAGCCGCAGUAUCUUAACUGUGCAAAGGUAGCAUAAUCAUUAGUUUUUUAAUUGAAAGCUGGAAUGAAAGGUUGAAUGAGAAAAUUACUGUCUCUGUAAAAAUUUUAUAGAACUUUAUUUUUAAGUUAAAAAGCUUAAAUGUGUGUAAAAGACGAGAAGACCCUAUAGAGUUUAAUAUUUGGAAUUAUAUUUUUUUUAGAAUUCUAAAAUUUAUUAGUAAAAAGUAUUUAAUUGGGGUGAUUGGAAAAUUAAAAAAACUUUUCUUUAUAAAAUCAUUUAUUUAUGAAAAUAUGAUCCUUUAAAAAGAUUAUAAGAUUAAAUUACCUUAGGGAUAACRGCGUUAUUUUUUUUGAGAGUUCAAAUCGAAAAAAAAGAUUGCGACCUCGAUGUUGGAUUAAAAUUAAUUUUCGGUGUAGAAGCUGAAUAAAUUAGGUCUGUUCGACCUUUAAAAUUUUACUUGAUCUGAGUU
Molecule: ribosomal RNA, 526 nt
Filed under: Hadroplontus litura
Lineage: Eukaryota; Metazoa; Arthropoda; Insecta; Coleoptera; Curculionidae
Description: partial 16S ribosomal RNA
Rfam family: Bacterial large subunit ribosomal RNA
Source: RNAcentral